GGGGGAAUGGCGGAAUUGGCAGACGCAACGGACUCAAAAUCCGUCGAUAGCGAUAUCGUGAGGGUUCAAGUCCCUUUUCCCCCA
RNAcentral lists this transfer RNA (84 nucleotides) under Ruminococcus sp. Its description in RNAcentral is "tRNA-Leu". It matches the Rfam family "tRNA". Rfam says of the family: Transfer RNA (tRNA) molecules are approximately 80 nucleotides in length. Their secondary structure includes four short double-helical elements and three loops (D, anti-codon, and T loops). The record is from RNAcentral. Lineage: Bacteria; Bacillati; Bacillota; Clostridia; Eubacteriales; Oscillospiraceae.